CAGAAAACGCGGCCGAAAACCCAAGAAAAUCCCGGCUACAGAAACCAUGGACUUUCAAUUCGCCACCAAUGUGCCCCAAAACGACAACGUUUCCCUCCCCUCCAUCGCCACCACCACCACCGCUGCUACAGAAACCCCUAGCACUGGCGCUAGUCCUUCUCCUGGUCGUGGCCGCGGAAGACCAAGAAAAACUGGAAAACACACGGAAAAAUCGGAACCCAAGUCCCCAGAACGGAGGCUGACGCGCCACGGAGAGCAGAACGGAGAAUUCUAUGUGCCCGCUGCGGAGAUUAGGCAUAAUAAUAUGAUGGGGGUGGUUGCAGCGGCGGAGUGGGAGAGCGUGGUGAAAGUGGUGCCGGCAAUGGAUGCGGUGGUGAAGGUGUUCUGCGUUCACACUGAACCUAAUUUUUCAUUGCCAUGGCAGCGGAAAAGGCAGUAUAGUUCGAGUAGUAGUGGGUUUAUUAUUGGGGGAAGGAGAGUGUUGACAAAUGCGCAUUCGGUCGAGCAUCACACUCAGGUUAAGCUGAAAAAACGAGGGUCUGAUACGAAGUAUCUGGCUACUGUGUUGGCUAUUGGCACCGAGUGCGAUAUUGCAUUAUUGACAGUUAAUGAUGAUGAAUUUUGGGAGGGAGUUACUCCUGUUGAGUUUGGAGAUCUGCCUGCCCUUCAAGAUGCUGUUACUGUUGUGGGUUACCCAAUUGGGGGCGAUACAAUCUCUGUGACAAGUGGUGUUGUCUCACGAAUAGAGAUACUAUCUUAUGCCCAUGGAUCAACUGAACUUUUGGGGUUGCAGAUAGAUGCAGCCAUAAACUCUGGAAAUUCUGGGGGCCCUGCCUUUAAUGAGAAGGGCAAAUGUGUUGGUAUUGCAUUUCAAUCUCUGAAACAUGAAGAUGUGGAGAAUAUUGGCUAUGUUAUACCCACACCAGUUAUAGCACAUUUUAUUUGUGAUUAUGAGAAGCAUGGGGCCUAUACAGGCUUUCCAGUUCUUGGAGUUGAGUGGCAGAAGAUGGAAAAUCCUGAUUUGCGUAUGUCAAUGGGGAUGGGGCCUGAUAUGAAGGGUGUACGCAUUAGAAGAAUUGAACCAACAGCGCCAGAAUCCCAUGUUUUGAGGCCCUCUGAUGUUAUCCUGAGUUUUGACGGGGUUAAAAUUGCUAAUGAUGGAACAAUCCCAUUCAGGCAUGGAGAGCGAAUUAGUUUCAGUUACCUUGUUUCUCAAAAGUACACUGGGGACAAAGCUGUGGUGAAAGUUCUCCGCAAUUCAGAGAUACUUGAAUUCAACAUAAAACUUGCAACUCACAAACGGUUGAUCCCAGCACAUAUCAAGGGCAAACCUCCUUCUUAUUAUAUUAUUGCUGGAUUUGUUUUUACUGCUGUAUCUGUUCCAUAUCUGCGUUCUGAGUAUGGAAAGGACUAUGAAUUUGAUGCUCCAGUCAAACUAUUGGACAAGCAUUUACAUGCAAUGGCACAAUCUGUAGAUGAACAGGUGGUUGUUGUUUCACAGGUUCUUGUGGCUGACAUUAAUAUUGGAUAUGAAGAAAUUGUCAACACUCAGGUUCUGGCUUUCAAUGGCCAGCCUGUGAAGAACCUGAAGAACUUGGCUGACAUGGUGGAGAGCUGUGAUGAUGAAUUUUUGAAGUUUGACCUAGAAUACCAGCAGAUAGUGGUCCUACACACCAAAAAUGCCAACGCAGCAACUUUAGAUAUCCUUGCAACACAUUGUAUACCUUCUGCAAUGUCUCAUGAUCUUAAGACUUGAGAAAAAAAUAAGUCUGUAGGCGGCAAAUAUUCCAAUUUUGAAACACGACAGUACAUGAUAUUCAGUAAUUUCUCGCUUUCAUAUAUCUGCUUUUGUUUGG
This 1856-nucleotide unclassified non-coding RNA is filed under the name Hevea brasiliensis (rubber tree). The record is from RNAcentral. Lineage: Eukaryota; Viridiplantae; Streptophyta; Magnoliopsida; Malpighiales; Euphorbiaceae.